Gasterosteus aculeatus aculeatus (three-spined stickleback) is the source of this 2571-nucleotide long non-coding RNA. The record is from Ensembl. NCBI's taxonomy places the organism in Eukaryota, Metazoa, Chordata, Actinopteri, Perciformes, Gasterosteidae.
CUACUGACAAGUAUUGAGUAUGAAUUGAAGCCUGAUGCACCCUCUUCCUGUGAGCCAUUGAUCUCCACUAACUUAAACACUAACUGCAUUCAACUCAUGCAGUUAGCUACUGUUUAACAUCAUCUUGGGUUAGGCGUGUCCUGUUUCUCACUUGUUAGUCUUCAGCUUGGGAUAGGAGAGAAACUAUAACACCAACAUGUGUCAGUUCAAGGAGAGCUCAGACCCCAACGAUCAGCUUAACAAAUCUGUUAUUAUUAUUUGUUUGGGCCUCAAUCAUUACCCCUUCAAAGAAUAUAUCAAAAUGUUUUAAUUAUGCCCUUUUUUGUUGAAACUCAAAUUGGAUUGUAAAUUGCCUCAGUUCCUAACUUUAGAACACUAUUUCAAGAACAUGAUUGGUUCGAUGAGAAGCAACUUAUGAACAACAUUCGUACUUACCUACAAAAAAUGUUCCCGGUGUGCGGCGACCUUCUCCUUGGGCAGACCAGGAUCCGCAGGGUGCCUCUCGGUGAGGUGAACGUCCCGAAGGGCGUCCACGUCUGUAUCGGCAACACGAGACACGACUUCACCCCCUCAACCCCGGAGCAGAUGAAACAGCGGUGUGACGCCCUUCUCGAUCAGGACUUACCAUAUAAACUUUUCACCCUCAACUGCGAGCACUUUGCUACUUUUGUACGUUAUGGAACAGCAGUGUGCAACCAGCUUCCUGGUAGAACGAAGAAUAAAGAGUGUGAGUUGGCAACUGAAACCUUCAAGAACAUUGUCAGCCCUAAAGAAACUGAUGCAGGUCCCUUGAGGGAAACCUCUGACUUCUUUAAUUCACAUGUAUGGUAGGAAAAUGUAUUCAAAAGGGGAAUGAGGUAAACAUUGGUGUAAUUCGUACAUAGUCUGGUGGAAUAUAUGAAUCCUCUUUGUAUUAAUUCAGCAAAUCAUUUAUACUAAUCAUUUACAGAUUCUGCAACUCAUGGGCCAUGGGUGUGUUCUCAUGCAACCUCAGCCUAACAUGCCAAGUGUUCAAUUGUAACCUAGGCUCAAGUAUUUAUGUAUGUGGACGAGGGGAAGUACAGUGACUGCAGAGGAGCUUCCAACAUUGUAGUUUAACAUUUUACUUGAGCCUAACUCCAGAGGAGGGCAGUGCUGCGUCGAAAGCCCUAAAAACGGCAAACAGUUAAUCAACAGUUGCUAUCAGGACUGGUAAUCAAUUACUAAUUGUCUUCAUGUUGACAAAGGUAUCAUUUCAUUGUAUAGUUGGAUUUCUAAGCAUUGACUAAGCAUUAAGCAACUGUAGUAACAUGUCUUGUUAACAUGUAAUGGGGUUUUAAAUUAUAUAAACAUUAUAGCAGCAUUUAUAGCAGUAAGAGAGUUGCAGAUUGUAAGAAAAAAUAUACUGCUCUUUCCCAGGUGUUUUGGUCUCUGGUGGCCUUGGUAGGGUAAUAGGUAAGAAUAGGAUUGUAUUACUACAAGGCGCUCACAUGAUCAAUACUCAGUACAUUCCCAUGACUAAAUAAUGCUUUUAAGAACGUAUAUCAUUUUAAACAAAUAAAUUCAGAAUAGAAUUAAUUCAAAGGAAUGAUAAAUGUUAAAUGGACAAAAUUUGUAUUUCUCUUUUUAAGUCUUCCCACCCACAUCUUUUAAUACUACAUGUCUACAUUCACCCAUUUUCUUAUCUUCAAAGGCAAAUAGAUGAGAACAAGCAGAGCCAUUUUCUUUUAGAUCAAACUAUACUGAGACAUAUUGUAUUAUGGUGCAUUAUACCAUAUUUUUUCUAAUAUCACCCUAAACUACAACAUUGUUUAUGAUUUUUUAUGGCUUGAUAUACGAUAACAAUUUCAAAAAUACACUAUGAUAAUAAAUGAAUAAAUAAACUAUAAUACUUUCAUGUUUUUUAGACAUUCUAUCCAAUGAUCUAUUUGAUUAAAUACAUAAAGAGUUAUGAAAUGUUUAGCAUACUAUGCCAUUUUAAUUACAGUAAACUAAAGUUAAGUUAAGGGGUUUCAUGAUUUUGUUUUCAAGGCAUAUUAUGCAAUAAAAUAUUUUGUUACAUUUUUAUGACAUUAAAUACUACCGUGUGACAUUUUUCUGAUCUCUUACUCACUUUAACAAUUUGUGUGUUGUACUAUGAUAUUUUUAUGGCACAUUAUAGUAUGAUAAGAUGUAUAAUAUUCUUAACUGUUCGGUUCUUUAGUUUAAUUUUAGUCACUGUUCUCUGUUCUAAAGCAAACAAACAAGAUAAAGGUUUGGAUGCUUGAUGAUUGAUUCUUGUCCAUUAUGGGUGGUUCGGGACAGCUUUCUCUAUGGUUUUGCAAGACAUGCAAGUUAUGCAAGGUCAAAGUUGAAUCCAAGCACAGCAGUUGAGGAGGGAAGUCGGUGCAGUGUGCAAAGUCGCAGCUCUGCUUCAGCAUCUUCAGAGCAGGACAACUCAGCGGAUGCCCAGUUCAUCUGGUUGAGGCAACCUACCUCGGUGUAAGAGAAGCCAACAGUUGGGAACAGAGGAAAGCAGUGCAACUGUAAAACACUGGAAAUAUGCAGUAAGACUAUAAAACACAUCACCUCUGGCUAAAUUCUCUUUAGUGA